Molecule: unclassified non-coding RNA, 200 nt
Filed under: uncultured Hysterangiales
Lineage: Eukaryota; Fungi; Basidiomycota; Agaricomycetes
Description: sequence contains ITS2
Source: RNAcentral
UUAAGUUCAGCGGGUAGUCCUACCUGAUUUGAGGUCAGACGUUAAAGGUCGGUUUGUCCGGAGACGACUGUGAGCCACCCCCUUACACGGACGCCGGCGAACGUGACUUAUCACACCGUAGUCUGCGCGAUGGGGACGGCCGAUGCAUUUCGAGACGAGCCGUCUUCGAGAGACGGCAGCGUCCAAAUCGACCCCCGGCA